This 467-nucleotide ribosomal RNA is filed under the name uncultured bacterium. RNAcentral's name for it is "partial 16S ribosomal RNA". It matches the Rfam family "Bacterial small subunit ribosomal RNA", at positions 28 to 506 of the family's 1533-position model. The record is from RNAcentral.
GACGAACGCUGGCGGCGUGCUUAACACAUGCAAGUCGAACGGAAAGGCCCUGCUUUUGUGGGGUGCUCGAGUGGCGAACGGGUGAGUAACACGUGAGUAACCUGCACUUGACUUUGGGAUAACUUCAGGAAACUGGGGCUAAUACCGGAUAGGAGCUCCUGCUGCAUGGUGGGGGUUGGAAAGUUUCGGCGGUUGGGGAUGGACUCGCGGCUUAUCAGCUUGUUGGUGGGGUAGUGGCUUACCAAGGCUUUGACGGGUAGCCGGCCUGAGAGGGUGACCGGCCACAUUGGGACUGAGAGACGGCCCAGACUCCUACGGGAGGCAGCAGUGGGGAAUAUUGCACAAUGGGCGGAAGCCUGAUGCAGCAACGCCGCGUGCGGGAUGACGGCCUUCGGGUUGUAAACCGCUUUCGCCUGUGACGAAGCGUGAGUGACGGUAAUGGGUAAAGAAGCACCGGCUAACUACGU